This 536-nucleotide ribosomal RNA is filed under the name uncultured bacterium. RNAcentral's name for it is "bacterial SSU rRNA". It matches the Rfam family "Bacterial small subunit ribosomal RNA", at positions 777 to 1320 of the family's 1533-position model. The record is from RNAcentral.
AAUAGAUACCCCGGUAGUCCACGCCGUAAACGAUGGAUACUAGCUGUUGGGCGCAAGUUCAGUGGCUAAGCGAAAGUGAUAAGUAUCCCACCUGGGGAGUACGUUCGCAAGAAUGAAACUCAAAGGAAUUGACGGGGGCCCGCACAAGCGGUGGAGCAUGUGGUUUAAUUCGAUGAUACGCGAGGAACCUUACCAAGGCUUAAAUGUAGAUUGACCGGUUUGGAAACAGAUCUUUCGCAAGACAAUUUACAAGGUGCUGCAUGGUUGUCGUCAGCUCGUGCCGUGAGGUGUCAGGUUAAGUCCUAUAACGAGCGCAACCCCUGUUGUUAGUUGCCAGCGAGUCAAGUCGGGAACUCUAACAAGACUGCCAGUGCAAACUGUGAGGAAGGUGGGGAUGACGUCAAAUCAUCACGGCCCUUACGCCUUGGGCUACACACGUGCUACAAUGGCCGGUACAGAGAGCAGCCACUGGGUGACCAGGAGCGAAUCUAUAAAAACCGGUCACAGUUCGGAUCGGAGUCUGCAACUCGACUCCG